GAUGAACGCUGGCGGCGUGCCUAAUACAUGCAAGUCGAGCGAACAGACGAGGAGCUUGCUCCUCUGACGUUAGCGGCGGACGGGUGAGUAACACGUGGAUAACCUACCUAUAAGACUGGGAUAACUUCGGGAAACCGGAGCUAAUACCGGAUAAUAUAUUGAACCGCAUGGUUCAAUAGUGAAAGACGGUUUUGCUGUCCCUUAUAGAUGGAUCCGCGCCGCAUUAGCUAGUUGGUAAGGUAACGGCUUACCAAGGCAACGAUGCGUAGCCGACCUGAGAGGGUGAUCGGCCACACUGGAUCUGAGACACGGUCGAGACUCCUACGGGAGGCAGCAGUAGGGAAUCUUCCGCAAUGGGCGAAAGCCUGACGGAGCAACGCCGCGUGAGUGAUGAAGGUCUUCGGAUCGUAAAACGCUGUUAUUAGGGAAGAACAAAUGUGUAAGUAACUAUGCACGUCUUGACGGUACCUAAUCAGAAAGCCACGGCUAACUACGUG
RNAcentral lists this ribosomal RNA (497 nucleotides) under uncultured bacterium. RNAcentral's name for it is "partial 16S ribosomal RNA". It matches the Rfam family "Bacterial small subunit ribosomal RNA", at positions 28 to 507 of the family's 1533-position model. The record is from RNAcentral.